UGCAAGUCGUACGAGAGUUUUUAACUCUAGUGGCGGACGGGUGAGUAACACGUGAGAAUUUACCUUUAGGAGGGGGAUAACAGCGUAUCAAUAGAUAUUACGGAAACGGCUGCUAAUACCCCAUAUGCUUUUGAGUGAAAUAGAUUUAUCUGCCUAAAGAGAAGCUCGCGGCUGAUUAGCUUGUUGGUAAGGUAAUGGCUUACCAAGGCGACGAUCAGUAUCUGGUUUGAGAGGACGAUCAAACACCACUGGAACUGAGACACGGUCCAAAUUCCUACGGGAGGCUGCAGUCGAGAAUCUUCCGGCAUGGGCGAAAGCCUGACCGAGCGACGCCGCGUGCGGGAUGAAGGCUUCGGUUGUAAACCGCUGUAGAGGGAGCAAUCUCUUGAGGUAUCCUCUUGAGUUGAGCUAUCUCAGAGAAGACGGCUAAGUUCUGCCAGCAGCCGCGUA
Molecule: ribosomal RNA, 450 nt
Filed under: uncultured bacterium
Lineage: Bacteria
Description: bacterial SSU rRNA
Rfam family: Bacterial small subunit ribosomal RNA
Source: RNAcentral